UUCUGGUUGAUCCUGCCGGAGGCUACCGCUAUUGGAGUUCGAUUAAGCCAUGCGAGUCGAGAGUCUUAGGGACUCGGCGUACCGCUCAGUAACACGUGGGUAACCUGCCCUAUGCUGGGGAAUAACCUCGGGAAACUGAGAAUAAUACCCCAUAGUUCACCACGCCUGGAACGGUGGGUGGAUGAAAGCUCCGGCGGCAUAGGAUGGGCCUGCGACGUAUCAGGUUGUAGGGGGUGUAACGUACCCUCUAGCCAUCAACGCGUACGGGUGUUGGGAGACAUAGCCCGGAGAUGGAUUCUGAGACACGAAUCCAGACCCUACGGGGUGCAGCAGGCGCGAAAACUUGGCAAUGCGAGCAAUCGUGACCAGGGAACUCCAAGUGGCUGGGGUAAUACCCAGUUUUUUCUUGACUCUUCAAAGGUCUUGGAAUAAGGGGUGGGUAAGGACGGUGCCAGCCGCCGCGGUAAUACCGGCGCCUCAAGUGGUAGUCGCUUUUAUUGGGCCUAAAACGUCCGUAGCCGGUCUGGUGCAUUCGUGGGUAAAUCAACCCGCUCAACGGGUUGAAUUCUGCGAGCACGGCCAGACUUGGGACCGGGAGAGGUGUGGGGUACUCUCAGGGUAGGGGUAAAAUCCUGUCAUCCUGAGAGGACCACCUGUUGCGAAGGCGCCACACUAGAACGGAUUCGACGGUCAGGGACGAAACCUAGGGGCACGAACCGGAUUAGAUACCCGGGUAGUCCUAGGUGUAAACGCUGUGGACUUGAUGUUGGGGGUGCUCCGAGCA
Molecule: ribosomal RNA, 784 nt
Filed under: uncultured Candidatus Poseidoniales archaeon
Lineage: Archaea; Methanobacteriati; Thermoplasmatota; Candidatus Poseidoniia; Candidatus Poseidoniales
Description: bacterial SSU rRNA
Rfam family: Archaeal small subunit ribosomal RNA
Source: RNAcentral